UUUGNNUAGCGCGGUGGUCCCACCUGACCCCAUGCCGAACUCAGAAGUGAAACGCCGUAGCGCCGAUGGUAGUGUGGGGUCUCCCCAUGCGAGAGUAGGGAACUGCCAGGCA
This 112-nucleotide ribosomal RNA is filed under the name Salmonella enterica subsp. enterica serovar Typhi. Lineage: Bacteria; Pseudomonadati; Pseudomonadota; Gammaproteobacteria; Enterobacterales; Enterobacteriaceae. The record is from RNAcentral.